This 942-nucleotide ribosomal RNA is filed under the name uncultured bacterium. RNAcentral's name for it is "bacterial SSU rRNA". It matches the Rfam family "Bacterial small subunit ribosomal RNA", at positions 335 to 1270 of the family's 1533-position model. The record is from RNAcentral.
ACUCCUACGGGAGGCAGCAGUGGGGAAUAUUGCACAAUGGGCGCAAGCCUGAUGCAGCCAUGCCGCGUGUGUGAAGAAGGCCUUAGGGUUGUAAAGCACUUUCAGCGAGGAGGAAGGCACCAUACUUAAUACGUGUGUGAUUGACGUUACUCGCAGAAGAAGCACCGGCUAACUCUGUGCCAGCAGCCGCGGUAAUACGGAGGGUGCAAGCGCUAAUCGGAAUUACUGGGCGUAAAGCGCACGCAGGCGGUUUGUUAAGUCAGAUGUGAAAUCCCCGCGCUUAACGUGGGAACUGCAUUUGAAACUGGCAAGCUAGAGUCUUGUAGAGGGGGGUAGAAUUCCAGGUGUAGCGGUGAAAUGCGUAGAGAUCUGGAGGAAUACCGGUGGCGAAGGCGGCCCCCUGGACAAAGACUGACGCUCAGGUGCGAAAGCGUGGGGAGCAAACAGGAUUGGAUACCCUGGUAGUCCACGCUGUAAACGAUGUCGACUUGGAGGUUGUGCCCUUGAGGCGUGGCUUCCGGAGCUAACGCGUUAAGUCGACCGCCUGGGGAGUACGGCCGCAAGGUUAAAACUCAAAUGAAUUGACGGGGGCCCGCACAAGCGGUGGAGCAUGUGGUUUAAUUCGAUGCAACGCGAAGAACCUUACCUACUCUUGACAUCCACGGAAUUCGCCAGAGAUGGCUUAGUGCCUUCGGGAACCGUGAGACAGGUGCUGCAUGGCUGUCGUCAGCUCGUGUUGUGAAAUGUUGGGUUAAGUCCCGCAAUGAGCGCAACCCUUAUCCUUUGUUGCCAGCACGUAAUGGUGGGAACUCAAAGGAGACUGCCGGUGAUAAACCGGAGGAAGGUGGGGAUGACGUCAAGUCAUCAUGGCCCUUACGAGUAGGGCUACACACGUGCUACAAUGGCAUAUACAAAGAGAAGCGAACUCGCGAGAGCAAGCGG